Molecule: ribosomal RNA, 429 nt
Filed under: Chloroflexota bacterium
Lineage: Bacteria; Bacillati; Chloroflexota
Description: Chloroflexi bacterium partial 16S ribosomal RNA
Rfam family: Bacterial small subunit ribosomal RNA
Source: RNAcentral
UGGGGAAUAUUGCACAAUGGGCGCAAGCCUGAUGCAGCCAUGCCGCGUGUGUGAAGAAGGCCUUCGGGUUGUAAAGCACUUUCAGCGUGGAGGAAGGCGAUAAGGUUAAUAACCUUGUCGAUUGACGUUACCCGCAGAAGAAGCACCGGCUAACUCCGUGCCAGCAGCCGCGGUAAUACGGAGGGUGCAAGCGUUAAUCGGAAUUACUGGGCGUAAAGCGCACGCAGGCGGUCUGUCAAGUCGGAUGUGAAAUCCCCGGGCUUAACCUGGGAACUGCAUUCGAAACUGGCAGGCUAGAGUCUUGUAGAGGGGGGUAGAAUUCCAGGUGUAGCGGUGAAAUGCGUAGAGAUCUGGAGGAAUACCGGUGGCGAAGGCGGCCCCCUGGACAAAGACUGACGCUCAGGUGCGAAAGCGUGGGGAGCAAACAGG